AGGGCGCAGGGUGGAUGCCUUGGCACUAAGAGCCGAUGAAAGACGUGAUAAGCUGCGAAAAGCUUCGGGGAGGAGCACAUAUCCAAUGAUCCGGAGAUAUCUGAAUGGGGAAACCCGGCAGAGGAAACCUCUGUCAGCGUGCAGUGAAUACAUAGCUGUACGUGGGGAACCCGGGGAACUGAAACAUCUAAGUACCCGGAGGAAGAGAAAGAAAAUUUAUCGAUUUCCAAAGUAGCGGCGAGCGAAAUGGAAAGAGCCCAAACCGUGAUGCGUGCAUCGCGGGGUUCGGACUGCGUUGUGGCAGACGUAAGAUAGGAGAACGGACUGGGAAGUCCGGCCGGAGAGAGUGAAAGCCUCGUAUCCGAAAUCCCAAGUCGCCUAGCAGGAUCCAGAGUAGGACGAGACACGAGAAACCUUGUCUGAACGAGCGGGGACCACCCCGUAAGGCUAAAUACUUCUUAGUGACCGAUAGCGCAUAGUACUGUGAAGGAAAGGUGAAAAGUACCCCGGGAGGGGAGUGAAAGAGAACCUGAAACCCUGUGUCUACAAGCUGUGGGACCUCUUUAUAUGAGGGACUGCGUACUUUUUGUAGAACGGUCCGGCGAGUUGUGCGUACUGGCGAGGUUAAGGACUUAAGGUCUGGAGCCGAAGUGAAAGCAAGCGUUAAUAGCGCGUCAAGUCAGUGAGUGCAGACCCGAAACCGGGUGACCUAUCCAUGUCCAGGUUGAAGCUUCCGUAAGAGGAAGUGGAGGACCGAACCCACAUCCGUUGAAAAGGGUGGGGAUGAGGUGUGGAUAGCGGAGAAAUUCCAAUCGAACCCGGAGAUAGCUGGUUCUCCUCGAAAUAGCUUUAGGGCUAGCCUCAUGAGAGUCUUAUGGAGGUAGAGCACUGAAUUGCCUAGGGGGCGUCAAAGCUUACCAAAGCAUAUCAAACUCCGAAUGCCAUCAAGAUGAUUCAUGGGAGUCAGACCAUACGAGAUAAGUUGGAUGGUCAAAAGGGAAAGAGCCCAGACCUACAGCUAAGGUCCCAAAGUACGUGUUAAGUGGAAAAGGAUGUGGGGAUUCUAAGACAACUAGGACGUUGGCUUAGAAGCAGCCAUUCAUUGAAAGAGUGCGUAAUAGCUCACUAGUCGAGAGUCCCUGCGCCGAAAAUGUCCGGGGCUGAAACACGACACCGAAGCUUAGGAAUGUGUAAACAUUGGUAGAGGAGCAUUGCUGGCGGGAUGAAGCCAUACCGUAAGGAGUGGUGGACUGCUAGGAAGAGAGAAUGCCGGAAUGAGUAGCGAGAUGAAGGUGAGAAUCCUUCAGGCCGAAUAUCUAAGGUUUCCAGAGUAAAGCUGAUCUGCUCUGGGUAAGUCGGGACCUAAGGCGAGGUCGAAAGACGUAGUCGAUGGAUAACAGGUUGAAAUUCCUGUACCGCAUAUAAACAGAACUGUGGGGACACAGACAGGGAAUGGAAUCCGGGAAUGGAUAUCCCGGUGCAAGCGAGGUAGGAGUGCUGUUGGCAAAUCCGCAGCACGAUCUGAAGACGUGACGCGUACCGAACAUAAGUAGGGAAGUCCAGGCCCCUGGCUGUCAAGAAAAGCCGCUAUUGUUUUAUAUGUGCCCGUACCGCAAACCGACACAGGUGGAUGAGGAGAGAAUCCUAAGGCCGACGGGAGAAGUAUUGUUAAGGAACUCGGCAAAAUGACUCCGUAACUUCGGGAGAAGGAGUGCCAUGUAAAAGUGGCCGCAGAGAAUUGGCCCAAGCAACUGUUUAGCAAAAACACAGGUCUAUGCAAAACCGAAAGGUGAGGUAUAUGGGCUGACGCCUGCCCGGUGCUGGAAGGUUAAGGGGAGAGGUUAGCGCAAGCGAAGCUUUGAACUUAAGCCCCAGUAAACGGCGGCCGUAACUAUAACGGUCCUAAGGUAGCGAAAUUCCUUGUCGGGUAAGUUCCGACCCGCACGAAAGGCGUAAUGAUUUGGGCACUGUCUCAACAAUGCACCCGGUGAAAUUGAAAUACCAGUGAAGAUGCUGGUUACCUGCGCCAGGACGGAAAGACCCCAUGGAGCUUUACUCCAGUUUGAUACUGGGAUUCGGCAUGGUAUGUACAGGAUAGGUGGGAGACUGAGAAGGUAUGACGUCAGUUGUACCGGAGUCGCUGUUGGGAUACCACCCUUACCAUGUUGGAUUUCUAACCUGUGGCCGUAAGCCGGUCAGGGGACAAUGUCAGGCGGGGAGUUUGACUGGGGCGGUCGCCUCCGAAAGGGUAUCGGAGGCGCUCAAAGGU
RNAcentral lists this ribosomal RNA (2269 nucleotides) under human gut metagenome. Its description in RNAcentral is "bacterial LSU rRNA". It matches the Rfam family "Bacterial large subunit ribosomal RNA", at positions 14 to 2317 of the family's 2925-position model. The record is from RNAcentral.